UAGAGUUUUUAUUAAUUUAUAACUUUUCUCAAUAAUUAAAACUAACAAUCUCUUUGAUGAACAAUCAUAUCAGGAUAUUUUAUUUUUAAAUCAAAAAGUCAUACAGAGAAAGGGGAAAUCACUAUUAAGCCAUGGUUAGUGUUAUAAUAUUAAUCCAGAUAAGAGGAAAGUGAACAGCGCUAGAGGGUUGGCUGUGACUAUCAAGGGAAAUAGGUUUGUAGAAAUUUUAAAUUUCAUGUUCUGAAAUUUCAUUUGUUAAUGGUAUAGAGAAAUAAAAUAGAUUCUGCAAGGGUAUGGGUGCAUUUUACCCAUUAGUCUUGCUGAAUUAUCUUAUCAAUUUUUAUUUUAUUCAUUGAUUCUUUAAUUUUUCCCUGUUACUUACAAAUAAAGACAGUUUUAUUUCUAUUUGAAAUUCCUAACUUUUAUUAAUUUUGCAUUCUUAAUGCCCUCGUAAAGACUUCUGGUAGAAUAUUUUUAAAAAGUGAGGUGACUGGCAUCCUUGUCUUAGUCCUGAUCCUGCAGGUGUUUCAGACCCAACUGUGUCACACAGUGGACAUUUAUUCCAUGGUUUUGUGUUCCUGGUUAUGUAUUUCUGUUUCAGUUUAACUUUCUUAGCAACGUUCUACCGUUUUCCUUUAAAGGAUCCUGGAUGUCAUAUUGCUAAACUCAUUCCUAUGUAUCUUACAGUACUUAUUUGUUUGUGCAUGGUAAAAUUUUGUUAUGUACUUCUGACUCUUCACUACUGUGAUAUAGAAAUGCUACUGAUUAUUUUCUGUGUUGACAUUCUAUUAAACAAAUGUGGUGAAUUUUGGUAUUAUGCUUAUUUA
This 827-nucleotide long non-coding RNA is filed under the name Marmota monax (woodchuck). Lineage: Eukaryota; Metazoa; Chordata; Mammalia; Rodentia; Sciuridae. The record is from RNAcentral.